This 471-nucleotide ribosomal RNA is filed under the name uncultured Acidobacteriota bacterium. RNAcentral's name for it is "bacterial SSU rRNA". It matches the Rfam family "Bacterial small subunit ribosomal RNA", at positions 224 to 704 of the family's 1533-position model. The record is from RNAcentral. Lineage: Bacteria; Pseudomonadati; Acidobacteriota.
GAGGAGCCCGCGGCUGAUUAGCUAGUUGGUGAGGUAAUGGCUCACCAAGGCAACGAUCAGUAUCCGGUCUGAGAGGACGGUCGGACACACUGGAACUGAGACACGGUCCAGACUCCUACGGGAGGCAGCAGUGGGGAAUUUUUGGCAAUGGGGGAAACCCUGACCAAGCAACGCCGCGUGGGUGAUGAAGUCUCUUGGGACGUAAAACCCUUUCGACGGGGAAGAAACCGCAAGGUUGACGGUACCCGUAGAAGAAGCCCCGGCUAACUCCGUGCCAGCAGCCGCGGUAAUACGGGGGGGGCAAGCGUUGUUCGGAAUUACUGGGCGUAAAGGGUGCGUAGGCGGCGCUCUAAGUCGGAUGUGAAAACUCUGGGCUCAACCCAGAGCCUGCAUCCGAAACUGGAGUGCUAGAGUUCUGGAGGGGGUAGCGGAAUUCCUGGUGUAGCGGUGAAAUGCGUAGAUAUCAGGAGG